GGCAGCAUGGUCUUAGCUUGCUAAGGCCGAUGGCGACCGGCGCACGGGUGAGUAACGCGUAUCCAACCUGCCUUACACUCUUGGACAGCCUUCUGAAAGGGAGAUUAAUACAAGAUGUUAUCAUGAGUAAGCAUUUUCGCAUGAUUAAAGGUUUACCGGUGUAAGAUGGGGAUGCGUUCCAUUAGAUAGUAGGCGGGGUAACGGCCCACCUAGUCUUCGAUGGAUAGGGGUUCUGAGAGGAAGGUCCCCCACAUUGGAACUGAGACACGGUCCAAACUCCUACGGGAGGCAGCAGUGAGGAAUAUUGGUCAAUGGACGAGAGUCUGAACCAGCCAAGUAGCGUGAAGGAUGAAGGUUCUAUGGAUUGUAAACUUCUUUUAUACGGGAAUAAACGAAUCCACGUGUGGAUUUUUGCAUGUACCGUAUGAAUAAGGAUCGGCUAACUCCGUGCCAGCAGCCGCGGUAAUACGGAGGAUCCGAGCGUUAUCCGGAUUUAUUGGGUUUAAAGGGAGCGUAGAUGGGUUGUUAAGUCAGUUGUGAAAGUUUGCGGCUCAACCGUAAAAUUGCAAUUGAUACUGGCAGUCUUGAGUACAGUUGAGGUAGGCGGAAUUCGUGGUGUAGCGGUGAAAUGCUUAGAUAUCACGAAGAACUCCGAUUGCGAAGGCAGCUUACUAACCCUGUAACUGACAUUGAUGCUCG
RNAcentral lists this ribosomal RNA (699 nucleotides) under uncultured Bacteroidales bacterium. Its description in RNAcentral is "bacterial SSU rRNA". It matches the Rfam family "Bacterial small subunit ribosomal RNA", at positions 68 to 755 of the family's 1533-position model. Lineage: Bacteria; Pseudomonadati; Bacteroidota; Bacteroidia; Bacteroidales. The record is from RNAcentral.